AUGAUGACCAUGGAUCUGAUUGGAGGAUACGGGAGGGCGGACGAGCAGGUGGCCAUCCAGGAGGCGGCGGCGGCGGGGCUGCGCGGGAUGGAGCACCUCAUCCUGCAGCUCUCCCGGACAGGCACCAGCGAGAGCUCGCCGGUUGGGUCGUCGGAGGCGCCGGAGCAGCAGGUGGACUGCCGGGAGAUCACUGAUAUGACAGUGUCCAAGUUCAAGAAGGUGAUUUCUAUCCUCAACCACCGCACUGGCCACGCCAGGUUCCGGCGCGGGCCUGUGGUGGCGCAGUCCCAGGGCCCCGCCGUGUCCGAGCCGGCGCCGGUGAGGGCGUCUUCGUCGAGGUCCGUGACCUUGGACUUCACCAAGGCGUCUUCUGGGUACGGAAACGACGCUGGCUUCAGCGUCUCGGCCGCGAGCUCAUCCUUCAUGUCGUCGGUGACCGGUGACGGGAGCGUGUCCAACGGACGCGGGGGCGGGUCCUCGCUGAUGCUCCCGCCACUACCUUCGGCCAGCUGCGGGAAACCGCCGCUGGCGUCCUCCGCGGCAUCCACCGGCGCGGGUGCCGGGCAGAAACGCAAGUGCCACGACCACGCGCACUCCGAGAACGUCGCCGGCGGAAAGUACGGCGCCUCCGGUGGCCGCUGCCACUGCUCCAAGCGCAGAAUGAAUGAAUGGGACCGGCAGGAAGUCCCGGGUUCGGCGGAUGACUCGCGUGCCGGCGAUCAGCUCGAAGGCAGCGGAGAUCCCCGCGGACGACUUCUCGUGGCGCAAGUACGGGCAGAAGCCUAUCAAGGGCUCCCCCUACCCACGAGGUUACUACAAGUGCAGCACGGUGCGCGGGUGCCCGGCGCGGAAGCACGUGGAGCGCGACCCCAGCGACCCCUCCAUGCUCAUCGUGACCUACGAAGGCGAGCACCGGCACACCCCCGCGGACCAGGAGCCGCUCGCCCCGCUACCGGAGCUCUGAAAUCUCUUUGCCAUUACCGUCGUCCUCACAUGUUAAUUCAACUUAGCUUGUCGCCAUGUUCCCUUCGUUACUGCUAG
Molecule: ribosomal RNA, 1041 nt
Filed under: Triticum aestivum (bread wheat)
Lineage: Eukaryota; Viridiplantae; Streptophyta; Magnoliopsida; Poales; Poaceae
Description: partial small subunit ribosomal RNA
Source: RNAcentral